GACCUCCAAAUCAGGUAGGACUACCCGCUGAACUUAAGCAUAUCA
Molecule: ribosomal RNA, 45 nt
Filed under: Rubroboletus haematinus
Lineage: Eukaryota; Fungi; Basidiomycota; Agaricomycetes; Boletales; Boletaceae
Description: partial 28S ribosomal RNA
Source: RNAcentral